GUGAGGAAGAGAAUGUAGUAAAGCAAAAGCUGGUUCUGAAAGCUUCUACCUGAAAGUAACACAUACUAGUUCAACUCAUAUUUCUUUGGUCAUUCAAGUCUCAUGGCUGAGCCUGACUUUAAUGAAUGGGGGAAGUGUAAUCCUCCUCCAGGGAUUGAUGGAGAAGCAGAUAUUGAUGAAGCCAAAGUUUAUAAUCUACCACACCCAGAGAGAUGAUAAAUGGACAAAGACAAAAUCCUGCAGAAUGCCAGAAUUAAUUUAUUUAUAAACACUUUUUAAUGAGCACCUACUAUGUGUCAAUGAUAAUGUCUCUCAUCAUCCAACAAGCUGGCCUGAGUUUGUUCACAUGGUGGUGGUAGGGGACCAAGAGGAAAAGUCAAAGAAUUCAAGACCCCUUGAGGCCUAUGCUUGAAAUUGGCGUAAUUUCACCACACUAUCAUGCCAAAGCAAGGCACAAGACCUACCCAGUUUGAAGAGAUAAGGAAAUAGACUCCAUCUCUUGAUGUGAGGAGUUGCAAAGUCACACUGCAAAGAGCAUGGAUCCAGAGAGGAUGAAUAAUGGUGGUCAUUUGUACAACCAAUCUACCACACAUCAAAAUGCCAAUUAUUGCAGAAAGCCAGUCGCUUCUAUAUCCAUACUGAAACUUCCAUUGGAAAUGGAUUUGGGGGAUAAGCACAAGAUGAAGGCACUUAGCCACUGAUGCUCGUCUAAAGAAGACAUUUUGUCUUGAAAACUGUCAGGUGCCAUUUUGAAUAUCACCUGCAUUUAGAAGCAGAACAAACUGAAAUAAAGUCAAAGCCCGAAUUUGAAAAACAAACUACUCACCUUCCAUCUUUGAUGACAAAAUCAGAAGUCAUUUGCAAAGCAAUUGCCAUGCUAGGCAACUUCAAAAUGGUCCUACUAGGCUCCUAUUGCCCAACCAGAAGUCAACGGACAAAACGGUCCAUGGAUGUGAUCCAUAUUAGGUCAGCCUUGUGGAAAAGAGAGCCGGUUAGAAAAGGAUAAAGAGGAAAUUUGGAAAGACAAAUGGAAGAUAUCCAGCACAUCACUUUUUUUCA
Molecule: long non-coding RNA, 1059 nt
Filed under: Equus caballus (horse)
Lineage: Eukaryota; Metazoa; Chordata; Mammalia; Perissodactyla; Equidae
Description: lncRNA (ENSECAG00000050672.1)
Source: RNAcentral